RNAcentral lists this long non-coding RNA (460 nucleotides) under Phoenix dactylifera (date palm). RNAcentral's name for it is "long non-coding RNA (PDAC_LNC019195)". The record is from RNAcentral. Lineage: Eukaryota; Viridiplantae; Streptophyta; Magnoliopsida; Arecales; Arecaceae.
UGAGCGUCUUCUUCUCCAUGUUAAGCUCGGCUAGUGGAGAACUGCACGAGGGGGUGGCAGAUAGGGACCGCAGCUCGGAGAGAGCCUGGUCGGCCAAUAAUAGCGUUGAAGGCCGAGCCGACCUGGGCUACAAAAAAGUUUAGCUUCACAGUACUUUCUCGGGGCGCGCGCACAGCCGUGAUUAGCAGGCCGAGAACCCCUUUCGCAGGUAUGAGACCUUCUGUGAAGCCGGCCAGAGGGUUGCUCAUUUUCUCCAGUUGUUUUACAACCAUUGGAAGGCAUCAAGAUGUCCGUAGUGCUUUUAUUAUCCACAAGUCCUUUUACGUCAGACUUUGCAAUAACUACAGCAUGGCUAUGAGGGGUUUCAACACCCUUUUGGUCUUCAUAAAGGGAGCUCAGGGUCCCGUUCUUCUGGCUCCCCCCUUUUAGUCACGGACGAACCGACCCAGUCGACCUCGGC